UCCCUCAUCAUCACGGUUCUAUCCUGCCUCAACAUUGCAGGUUCUCCUGCGUGAUGACGUUGCAAUCGCUAUUCGGACAAUACGGCGGCUAUUGCAAGCCUGUUGUUAUGGGACAAUACUUAUGCGCUGUAGUGGAGCUGUCAACGAUAAUUUUGACAGGUUGGGUUAUGUUGCCCAUGGAUAUGCAGGUUUCUCUGUCUACAAGGAUAUUCUUGGAUAUCACCGGAACAUUGGGAUAUUUAAUCUCCGAUUGACU
Molecule: long non-coding RNA, 256 nt
Organism: Bactrocera neohumeralis
Lineage: Eukaryota; Metazoa; Arthropoda; Insecta; Diptera; Tephritidae
Exons: 4
Source: RefSeq, a predicted model, not a curated record